This 497-nucleotide ribosomal RNA is filed under the name uncultured bacterium. RNAcentral describes it as "partial 16S ribosomal RNA". It matches the Rfam family "Bacterial small subunit ribosomal RNA", at positions 28 to 507 of the family's 1533-position model. The record is from RNAcentral.
GAUGAACGCUGGCGGCGUGCCUAAUACAUGCAAGUCGAGCGAACAGACGAGGAGCUUGCUCCUCUGACGUUAGCGGCGGACGGGUGAGUAACACGUGGAUAACCUACCUAUAAGACUGGGAUAACUUCGUGAAACCGGAGCUAAUACCGGAUAAUAUAUUGAACCGCAUGGUUCAAUAGUGAAAGACGGUUUUGCUGUCACUUAUAGAUGGAUCCUCGCCGCAUUAGCUAGUUGGUAAGGUAACGGCUUACCAAGGCAACGAUGCGUAGCCGAGCUGAGAGGGUGGUCGGCCCCCCUGGAACUGAGACACGGUCAAGACUCCUACGGGGGGCCGCAGUAGGCAAUCUACCGGAAUAGGCGAAAGCCUGACGUGCUAACGCCGCAUGAGUGAUGAAGGUCUCCGGAUCGUAAAACUCUGUUACUAGGGAAGAACAAAUGUGUAAGUAACUAUGCACGUCUUGACGGUACCUUAUCAGGAAGCCACGGCUCACUACGUG